AGUAACACGUGGGUAACCUGCCCAGAAGCAGGGGAUAACACCUGGAAACAGAUGCUAAUACCGUAUAACAGAGAAAACCGCUUGGUUUUCUUUUAAAAGAUGGCUCUGCUAUCACUUCUGGAUGGACCCGCGGCGCAUUAGCUAGUUGGUGAGGUAACGGCUCACCAAGGCGAUGAUGCGUAGCCGACCUGAGAGGGUAAUCGGCCACAUUGGGACUGAGACACGGCCCAG
Molecule: ribosomal RNA, 231 nt
Filed under: uncultured Lactobacillaceae bacterium
Lineage: Bacteria; Bacillati; Bacillota; Bacilli; Lactobacillales; Lactobacillaceae
Description: partial 16S ribosomal RNA
Rfam family: Bacterial small subunit ribosomal RNA
Source: RNAcentral